GAAUACUUCCUUGAUAAAAUCCAGAGUGAAACUUAAUUUACUUUUUCAUAUUCUUUUUUUUUAUAUAUAUAUUUUUCCACUGAGGUAUAGCUAGGAGUUAAUUAGUAGGUAUAGUUUUUCAUUUUUUUAUCUUUUUAUUCGCUUUUUUGGAUUAGCAUUUUUCUCUCUCAUUUUUUGCAUUGCAAUUUGAGAGAAUGAAAAUUUCACUCCAACAUGUCUCACUCAUUUUAGAAACAACACCUAUAAAGUUUGAAGAGCGUUUGUCAAAGUAUUUUUGUGUCAUAAUUGCUAGUUUUCAAGUUUUCACAUUCUCUCAGACUUUUAGGGAAGUCAACCAACUAGCUUAUUCUUUAGUUAAAUAUGGUUUUGAAGAGAGAGAGUGUUUCUUAUUUCAUGUUGGUCUUGGUUUUGCUUUGAACACCUAUUUGGGUGAUUUAAAUUGUAUCCCUUUAUUGGUUAAUCUAUCUUCUUAUACAAAGAAGGCCCCUGCCAAUGCGGAAAGUACUAAAGUGCCCCUGAGUUGCUGAGGUGUCGUCGUCUGGGGGAUUUUGUUGCUGCCCAAAAUGGUCCCUUUUCUAUUUUUAUAAUUUUUUUAAAGUAUAUUUACUGGAUUGGCGACAUGUGGCACACGUGCACGGUUUUCCAACCCGGUGCGCUUGGGUAACCGAAGGGUUUGUCAUUUUCGUCCCUCUCCAUUCCUCUCCAUGGUUCACACUCUCCACAGCUCUCCAUUCUUUUCCAUGAUUGUGGCUGUGACCUUUGUGUUCCUCUCGGCUUCUUAGCAUUCCAUUUGGCUUCUCACCAUUCCAUUCAUCUCCAUGGUUUAGAUCUUUCAAGUCACCUUUGUGUUCCUCUCAGUGCACGGUUUUCCAACCCGGUGCGCUUGGGUAACCGAAGGGUUUGUCAUUUUCGUCCCUCUCCAUUGCUCUCCAUGGCUCCACAACUCUCCAUUCUUUUCCAUGACUGUGGCUGUGACCUUUGUGGUUCAUACUCUCCACAACUCCUGACCUUUGUCGACAUGUUUUCCCUUCUCUGCGCGAUUUAUGCCUUUGUCCAACCAAAAAGGUUUGAUCUUUUGGUGGUUGUCCCCGUGUUCGAUUAUUUUGCAUUUCUUUGUGCAACUAGAAAGGUUCGAUCUUUCUGGGGGGAUUGUUGCGUUCCAUUAUUUGUAGAUAGAUUUAUGUAUGAUCUGCGUGUUUGUGUAUUUUUUUUUCUUUUCUGACAGGAAAAAAGACCCAACCUUUGUGUGAUUUUUGGGUGCUCCUGACCUUUGCCAACAUGUCUUCACUUCUCUUUGCGAUUUAUGACUUUGUUCAGCUAGAAAGGAAAAAAGGUCCAACCUUUGUGCGGUUUUAGGGUGGUCCUGACCUUUGCCAACAUGUCUUCGCUUCUCUGUGCGAUUUAUGACUUUGUUCAACCAAAAAGAUAAAAAUGGAUCCCCAUCUUAGUAUGCAGAUGAAGGAAAUCUUGUGAUCCACAAUUCAAGCCUAAUUGAUGACAUUUCAGACCACAAUAAUGGUGACAUGGAUGGGCCACAAACAACCAUGGAUAUAGAUAAAAAUGGAUCCCCAUCUCAGUCUACAGAUGAAGGAAGUCUUGUGAUCCACAAUUCAAACCUAAUUGAUGACAUCUCAUACCACAAUAAUGCUGACAUGGAUGGGCCAUAAACAACCAUGGAUAUAGAUUACUCAUUCAACAACCCAACAAUAGAUGACGCUGAUGAUUAUGAUGAAUGUUUUCCAGACAAACGUCUUGCCAUUUCCACCAUAUCCAUAUAGGAAGUUAACUCCCCCUUAUUGAAACAACAUGGAUAAUGGCAUUCAAUCACCCCAUUGGAUUUAUGAAGGAAUCUUUAUGUUACUUUAUAGAACCGAGUUUUGAUUGAGGCGCUAUCAGAUGCUCAAUUUAUUGUUUCUUCAGGUUUAUGAAUAUAGAUUACACAAUCAACUACCCAACAAUAGAUGAAGGUGAUGAUUAUGAUGAACAGAACAUUCUAGGCACACCAUGUCAAUUGGGCCCCUCCCAUUGGAUGCCAAAAAACCAGUUUUUAGCGGCAUUUCAUGUUGACAAGGCCGGCAUUCACCAUUCCAACUAUUUUUCCAUUUUCCUUUUUCCAGAUACAAAAACAAACUUAUUUCUAUUGUUAACAUGUUUCCUUGCAGAACAUUAUUGAGGUCCCUUUGUCUUACCAUAGACAAUGGGGGCCAUAUCACCCAACUUAUGUUUUAUUUGACUAUAAUGGAAGCAAACAUUUUGUUAGGGUGCGGAAAUAUGACACCCGAUAUUUUUUUGUUGAUGGUUUGAAAGAGUUUAGGAAAGCCCACGACAUUAACGACAGUGUCAUUAUCCGGUUUUUUGCUCUCGACAAAAAUACCUCUUUCGAGGUUGAAGUCAUGGGACCUAUCCGUGGGCAAUCACGUGGAAGGUCAGUGGUUACAACUAGAAGGCACGUCUUUACAACUAAUGUCACACAAGACAUGGUGCAACACAACUUGCCUUUGGUUCUUCCAACAGCAGCUUCAAAUUUUUUGUUUGGCUCAAAAAAAAUAUUCUUGUCCAGCGUGGUUACGGUAGACGUAACCAGUGGCAGAUCACCAUUCAUGAUGGUCUGCCAUCCCUUGUGAAACCAUGGUUCCAGUACCUCUCUGAAAAUAACUUAAUGCCUGGAGAUGAAGUUGUAUUCUUCUUCAGGUUUGACGAACAUACGUGGGAAGUCCUAUUUAGGAAAGAAGUAAUAGGGAUGACACCCUUUCCAGUUGAAGACCAUCCCACAUAAAAUUAUAUUUUUUUGUUUUAAUUUGAUUUAUAUUUUGCUUAAUUUUGUUAAUCAAAUACCUUAGGGUAUGAAACAAUUUCUUUCCCUUUAUGCUGAAGUUAUGAACAUAUGUUGAUGGCUUAC
Glycine soja is the source of this 2899-nucleotide long non-coding RNA. RefSeq lists it as uncharacterized. Lineage: Eukaryota; Viridiplantae; Streptophyta; Magnoliopsida; Fabales; Fabaceae. The record is from RefSeq and is a predicted model, not a curated record. The transcript has 9 exons.